RNAcentral lists this ribosomal RNA (1333 nucleotides) under metagenome. RNAcentral describes it as "bacterial LSU rRNA". It matches the Rfam family "Bacterial large subunit ribosomal RNA", at positions 1578 to 2925 of the family's 2925-position model. The record is from RNAcentral.
CCUUAGGCCGAAGUACAUGAUUCCAUGCUUCCAAGAAAAGCAUCUAGAGAGAGAAGUAGUGCCCGUACCGCAAACCGACACAGGUAGAUGAGGAGAGAAUCCUAAGGCCGGCGGAAGAAUUGCAGUUAAGGAACUAGGCAAAUUGACCCCGUAAGUUCGCGAGAAGGGGUGCCUGCGAGAGCAGGCCGCAGAGAAUAGGCCCAAGCAACUGUUUAGCAAAAACACAGGUCUCUGCUAAAGCGUAAGCUGAUGUAUAGGGGCUGACGCCUGCCCGGUGCUGGAAGGUUAAGGGGAACACUUAGCGCAAGCGAAGGUGUGAACUUAAGCCCCAGUAAACGGCGGCCGUAACAAUAACGGUCCUAAGGUAGCGAAAUUCCUUGUCAGGUAAGUUCUGACCCGCACGAAUGGCGUAAUGACUUGGGCACUGUCUCAACUGCAAAUCCGGCGAAGUUGUAGUGCGAGUGAAGAUGCUCGCUACCCGCGAUUGGACGGAAAGACCCCGUAGAGCUUUACUGUAGCUUAGCAUUGAAUUCCGGUAUUGUCUGUACAGGAUAGGUGGGAGACUAGGAAACUAGGGCGUCAGCCUUAGUGGAGUCAACCUUGGGAUACCACCCUGACAGUACUGGGGUUCUAACAGGACGCCAUGAAUCUGGUGACUAGACAUUGUUAGGUGGGCAGUUUGACUGGGGCGGUCGCCUCCUAAAAAGUAACGGAGGCGCCCAAAGGUUCCCUCAGAACGGUCGGAAAUCGUUCGUAGAGUGCAAAGGCAGAAGGGAGCCUGACUGCGAGACAUACAAGUCGAGCAGGGACGAAAGUCGGGCUUAGUGAUCCGGUGGUACCUCGUGGGAGGGCCAUCGCUCAACGGAUAAAAGCUACCUCGGGGAUAACAGGCUGAUCUCCCCCAAGAGUCCACAUCGACGGGGAGGUUUGGCACCUCGAUGUCGGCUCGUCGCAUCCUGGGGCUGUAGUAGGUCCCAAGGGUUGGGCUGUUCGCCCAUUAAAGCGGCACGCGAGCUGGGUUCAGAACGUCGUGAGACAGUUCGGUCCCUAUCCGUCGCGGGCGUAGGAAAUUUGAGAGGAGCUGUCCUUAGUACGAGAGGACCGGGAUGGACUGACCUCUGGUGCACCAGUUGUUCCGCCAGGAGCAUGGCUGGGUAGCUAAGUCGGGAAGGGAUAAACGCUGAAAGCAUCUAAGCGUGAAGCCUCCCUCAAGAUGAGAUUUCCCAUAGCAUAAGCUAGUAAGACCCCUUGAAGAACACAAGGUUGAUAGGUCAGAGGUGUAAGUGCGGUAACGUAUUUAGCUGACUGAUACUAAUAGGUCGAGGGCUUGAUC